RNAcentral lists this ribosomal RNA (416 nucleotides) under uncultured soil bacterium. Its description in RNAcentral is "bacterial SSU rRNA". It matches the Rfam family "Bacterial small subunit ribosomal RNA", at positions 258 to 690 of the family's 1533-position model. The record is from RNAcentral.
UAAGAGCCUACCAAGGCGACGAUCGGUUGCUGGUCUGAGAGGACGAUCAGCCACACUGGGAUUGAGAACGGCCCAUACUCCUACGGGGGGCAGCAGUGAGGAAUUUUCCGCAAUGGAGGCAACUCUGACGGAGCAACGCCGCGUGCAGGAGGACGCUUUUCGGAGUGUAAACUGCUUUUCUGUGGGAAGAGCGAGGACGGUACCACAGGAAGAAGCCCCGGCUAACUACGUGCCAGCAGCCGCGGUAAUACGUAGGGGGCGAGCGUUGUCCGGAGUUACUGGGCGUAAAGGGCAUGCAGGCGGUCGGACGCGUUUUGUGUGACAGCGGGUGGCUUAACUACCCGAUGCAUACGAAAGACGGUUCGACUUGAGGGCUCGAGAGGGACACAGAAUUCCGGGUGGAGUGGAUGAAAAUG